ACCCGCUGAACUUAAGCAUAUCAAUAAGCGGAGGAAAAGAAACUAACAAGGAUUCCCCUAGUAACGGCGAGUGAAGCGGGAAGAGCUCAAAUUUGUAAUCUGGCACUUUCAGUGUCCGAGUUGUAAUCUCGAGAAGUGUUUUCCGCGCCGGACCGCAUACAAGUCUGUUGGAAUACAGCGUCAUAGUGGUGAGAACCCCGUAACUGAUGCGGAUGCCCGGUGCUUUGUGAUACACUUUCGAAGAGUCGAGUUGUUUGGGAAUGCAGCUCAAAUUGGGUGGUAAAUUCCAUCUAAAGCUAAAUAUUGGCGAGAGACCGAUAGCGAACAAGUACCGUGAGGGAAAGAUGAAAAGCACUUUGGAAAGAGAGUUAACAGUACGUGAAAUUGUUGGAAGGGAAACGCUUGAAGUCAGACUUGCUAUUUGGAAUUCAGCCGCAAGGUGUACUUUUCAAUUCGCAGGCCAGCAUCAGUUUUUGGGGGUGGAAAAGGGUAUUGAGAAGGUAGCAGUCUCGGCUGUGUUAUAGCUCUUUACUGGAUUCAUCCUUGGGGACUGAGGAACGCAGCACGCUUUUUGCAAGGCUUUCGAGCUUUUCGUGCUUAGGAUGCUGGUGGAAUGGCUUUAAACGACCCGUCUUGAAACACGG
This 644-nucleotide ribosomal RNA is filed under the name uncultured fungus. RNAcentral's name for it is "eukaryotic LSU rRNA". It matches the Rfam family "Eukaryotic large subunit ribosomal RNA", at positions 23 to 664 of the family's 3401-position model. Lineage: Eukaryota; Fungi. The record is from RNAcentral.